Molecule: non-coding RNA, 378 nt
Organism: Pogona vitticeps (central bearded dragon)
Lineage: Eukaryota; Metazoa; Chordata; Lepidosauria; Squamata; Agamidae
Source: RefSeq, a predicted model, not a curated record
GUGAGAGAGAGGGAGGUCCCAAUAACAACUGGAGGGGUUGCUAUUAUAUAGCCCUGAUUAAAAGGAAGACAUAGAACCAGCUAUAUGGAUUCUAUCGUACAGAAUUAAAAGAAGAAACAUACACUGGAGCAUGGAAACACUGGAGUCCAAGAAUCCUACAACGGAAUUUUAUAAGGGGACAGAAAUAGAUCAUUGCCACAGCUGCAGACAACCUGAGGAGAGCUAAAAGGCAUACAACGAUAUUGGAUAAUAAAGAGAGAAGGCUGUAAUAAGUUGACAACAUCUACAUGUUCCAGCGAUGCAAUUCCUUCUGAGUUUGUAUUUACCCACCAAUGAUAAUUCACAAGCCAAAGCAAAAAAAUCUGCAAACUAUGGAAG